Molecule: small RNA, 151 nt
Filed under: Halobacillus sp.
Lineage: Bacteria; Bacillati; Bacillota; Bacilli; Caryophanales; Bacillaceae
Also listed under: 1 other name
Description: c-di-AMP sequence
Rfam family: c-di-AMP riboswitch aptamer (ydaO/yuaA leader)
About the family: This family represents a conserved RNA structure found upstream of the ydaO and yuaA genes in Bacillus subtilis and related genes in other bacteria. The ydaO/yuaA element is thought to act as a genetic "off" switch for the ydaO and yuaA genes in its native state. It is believed that the element may be triggered during osmotic shock leading to activation of ydaO, a predicted amino acid transporter gene, and members of the yuaA-yubG operon which code for KtrA and KtrB K+ transporters.
Source: RNAcentral
UUCUAUGAAUCGCUUAAUUCUAGAUCCUAGAAGCGGGGGACCCAAUCAAGAUGUGGCUCAGCCACUAGGGGUGAAUCCAUAAUUUAUGGUAGGGUGACUCUUUCCACCCGAAUCCGACAGCUAACCUCGUCAGCGUUUAAAGAGAAGAAUG